Lagopus leucura (white-tailed ptarmigan) is the source of this 952-nucleotide long non-coding RNA. RefSeq lists it as uncharacterized. The transcript is spliced from 3 exons. The record is from RefSeq and is a predicted model, not a curated record. NCBI's taxonomy places the organism in Eukaryota, Metazoa, Chordata, Aves, Galliformes, Phasianidae.
GCUGCAGCUGCUGGAAUAAUGGAGUCUGCUAUAAAAAGCACAUAGCUUGACAGUUCCAGAAUUUUGGCUAGAAAAAAGGCUUCACGAGUUCUCUCAUAUCAUUACUGAAAACAAUUCCUAGGCAAGAGCUGUUUCAAGAAUGAGCAGAUCAAGACCUUCCCAAAUGAAACUAUGCAGACAGACUUGUUCAAAUGCUACUUGCUCCUUAAGGGAGUGGGAAGUUCCUUGUGAUACUCUAACAACCAGUAUGAUAGCCGCUGCCGCAUGUUGAUGGUCAUCUCUGAGCUCAGGCGCCAGAUGAAGAUACAACUGAAAGAAGGAAAGCUGGAUGUACUUAUACUGAUGUAGAAACAGAGGCGGUAUUACUGCUAUCACUUAUCAUAUCCUGCAUGCUACUUUGGAAUCCAUCUUCAAGAACUGGCAGUGUCACCAUAUACAUUGGUACUCCAAGGAACUUUCAACAAGAACCUUUCCCUUUUUCUUUGCUCGCUUGCAAAAAUUCAUCAGCUCUGUCAUUUUGAACAACAAUCAUGAAUUUUUAGUCUCAUGGACCAGAGAAAAAAUGCCAAAAGCAACAAUAUCUUCUCUGCUUACUUUAUCUCAUAUAAAGGUAUUUUAAAAGGUUUCAUUUUCAUGCUACACCAAAAGGAAACAAACAAACAAGAAAACAGCCUGUGGAUAUAUUCCCAAAAAGCUGACAAUUCUCACCCCUCAGUCCUACUUGUUUGUGUGACAAAGUUCAGGAACGUCACUCCCAGCUAUUCAAGUCAUGUACAGACACAGAAGCUUCUCAUCAACAGCUGUCAUUCCCCUCCUCAGAUUUUUAGCAAAGAGAAAGUUGUGAGGCACUGCAUCUGGGCGCUAUGGCAACCCUAGGCAGCCAGCUGCUUCUCCUCAAACAGCAGCUCUCUUGAAUGUAACAGCAACAUAAUCGGCUUCCAAGACAACACCA